GCAGAUUCUCCUUAACAAUUCUGUGAGUUUGCUUUUGCUUAAAAAAAGAGAAAGAUGGAUGUUGGACUAAUGGCUGCCUACUGCGAGGAGCAUAUCCUCGUUAUUAUGGCAAUCUUUUGUAUUUUUGUUACGUGUUAUAUUUGUCCCAAAUAUUUGACAUAUCUGCUAACUGGCUAUUUUUAACAAAAAGAGCUGAGUCCAUUUUUAUUUAAAUAUAAAGCUAAUAUUGUUAUGUUUUCGUGA
Molecule: long non-coding RNA, 243 nt
Organism: Scaptodrosophila lebanonensis
Lineage: Eukaryota; Metazoa; Arthropoda; Insecta; Diptera; Drosophilidae
Exons: 2
Source: RefSeq, a predicted model, not a curated record